UAGCUCAGCUGGUAGAGCAACGCAUUCGUAAUGCGUAGGUCGCCGGUUCAAGUCCGGCCAGUAGCUCCA
RNAcentral lists this transfer RNA (69 nucleotides) under Bacteriophage sp. RNAcentral describes it as "tRNA-Thr". It matches the Rfam family "tRNA". Rfam says of the family: Transfer RNA (tRNA) molecules are approximately 80 nucleotides in length. Their secondary structure includes four short double-helical elements and three loops (D, anti-codon, and T loops). The record is from RNAcentral.